UACGAAGGGGGCGAGCGUUGUUCGGAUUUACUGGGCGUAAAGGGCGCGUAGGCGGCCCUCCUUGUCGCGUGUGAAAGCCCCGGGCUCAACCUGGGAAUUGCGCGCGAAACGGGGGGGCUUGAGUUCGGGAGAGGAGCGUGGAAUUCCCAGUGUAGAGGUGAAAUUCGUAGAUAUUGGGAAGAACACCGGUGGCGAAGGCGGCGCUCUGGACCGAGACUGACGCUGAGGAGCGAAAGCGUGGGUAGCAAACAGG
This 253-nucleotide ribosomal RNA is filed under the name uncultured bacterium. RNAcentral describes it as "partial 16S ribosomal RNA". It matches the Rfam family "Bacterial small subunit ribosomal RNA", at positions 524 to 776 of the family's 1533-position model. The record is from RNAcentral.